Molecule: ribosomal RNA, 459 nt
Filed under: uncultured bacterium
Lineage: Bacteria
Description: partial 16S ribosomal RNA
Rfam family: Bacterial small subunit ribosomal RNA
Source: RNAcentral
CCUACGGGUGGCAGCAGUGAGGAAUAUUGGUCAAUGGACGCGAGCCUGAACCAGCCAAGUCGCGUGAGGGAAGACGGUCCUAUGGAUUGUAAACCUCUUUUGUCGGGGAGCAAAAGACGCCACGCGUGGCGUUCCGAGAGUACCCGAAGAAAAAGCAUCGGCUAACUCCGUGCCAGCAGCCGCGGUAAUACGGAGGAUGCGAGCGUUAUCCGGAUUUAUUGGGUUUAAAGGGUGCGCAGGCGGAAGAUCAAGUCAGCGGUAAAAUUGAGAGGCUCAACCUCUUCGAGCCGUUGAAACUGGUUUUCUUGAGUGGGUGAGAAGUAUGCGGAAGGCGUGGUGUAGCGGUGAAAUGCAUAGAUAUCACGCAGAACUCCGAUUGCGAAGGCAGCAUGCCGGCGCUCAACUGACGCUCAUGCACGAAAGUGUGGGUAUCGAACAGGAUUAGAUACCCGGGUAGUC